This is a long non-coding RNA of Topomyia yanbarensis, 1269 nucleotides long. RefSeq lists it as uncharacterized. The record is from RefSeq and is a predicted model, not a curated record. The transcript is spliced from 3 exons. NCBI's taxonomy places the organism in Eukaryota, Metazoa, Arthropoda, Insecta, Diptera, Culicidae.
UGUCAAAACAUCGAUCCUUUAACUGCAGAGGCAGAAAUUUGUUGUGAUUCGAGACAGUCAACAAUUUUCUCGUGUUGUUCGUAGAGUGCGAUAGUUAUAGCAAAAUGACUACCAAAAUAUCGAAAGAUUCUGCACGAGUGCGUCACUGAGGUGUUUAAUGAUGAUAGAAAGAACCAUCCUUGUCCUGAUACUAGGUGUAAACCAACAGAAUACCGUAUUCGAUAAAAUUACAAUUACCAUCGUCGCAUCCUGCAAAAGGUGGAAUUUCUGAUUGGUCUGAAGAACUACGAUCCCUAAAAGCAUAAGCGUUUCUCCGGCAGUCAAUUACGUUAAUAUUUAAUAUCGGACACUGGAAGUGAUACACUUGUGAAUUGCCGUUCACUCGGUUUGCUCAUGGAUACUGAUAUCGGGAAGUCCUCUUGUUUUGGGAGGACGGACCAGCAAACAAUUGAGCAGGUUAAAGCUAGAGGACUGCCGAACAUUUUCCUGUUGGGUUGAACACCGUUUGAUAAGCUCUCUCUUCACUACCGGUGGCUAAAGUAUAUUCUACGCCAGAAGAUGCAGAUUUGUGUUCUUAAGAACAAAAAGUGGUAAAGAAGCUAGCUACAAAAUACGAUGCCUUCCUGGUAUCCAAAACACUGAUCAAGCAGAUUUCUCGUCUGAUUGGUCCGGAUCUUAACAAGGCCGGCAACUUUUUUGUGUUGGCGUACAGCGGAACAAAUAUGCAGAAGAUCGACAAAGUGUAGGCAAGCAUCAAAUUCCAGAUAAAGUUUCUGUGACUGUCGUCGUCGUCGGAAUGUAGAAUCUAUUGCUGUGCUGGUACACAUUACUCGGGAUUUACCUGUAAUUCAUCGAGGUCGAAGUAGCAAAUGAUGAUAUGAUUGCAGCAAAAUGUAUACAUAAAGAAAUUAAAUGAAAGUCAUUGACUGAAUCAAAAGUUACAUACGAACUGUUACUUAUGUAGUAAAACAUAUUGUUUCGCUGCAGUAUUCCAAUGAGUAUCGAUUAGAAUAAAAACAGUUUUCUAUCACGACGAAACAUUUCUUGAUCUACCGGAUCGGUUGGUUGAACAAAUUACCCGGAAUGGUAGCAAAUGUCGAACAUUGUACAGGAUGUCGUCGGAUACGUACUGUCCGUGUACAAACUGGUGUACGUAAUGUUGCUGAGUCAGUUUUUAAAAUCAAAUUCGCAAAUGGAUGGCACGAAUGUUCCUUAAAGAGUAUUCUAAUUUAUAUCCGUAUUCAACCGCAACCGAAUACUAUUCAGUCG